This 399-nucleotide unclassified non-coding RNA is filed under the name soil metagenome. RNAcentral describes it as "partial contains 5.8S ribosomal RNA, internal transcribed spacer 2, and large subunit ribosomal RNA". The stretch from base 1 to 120 matches the Rfam family "5.8S ribosomal RNA", at positions 35 to 154 of the family's 154-position model. The record is from RNAcentral.
GAUGAAGAACGUAGCGAAAUGCGAUACUUGGUGUGAAUUGCAGAAUCCCGUGAACCAUCGAGUCUUUGAACGCAAGUUGCGCCCGAAGCCUCGGCUAAGGGCACGUCUGCCUGGGCGUCACGCAUUGCGUCUCCCCCAAACCGCCAAGGCGGAGGGGAAGGAAGAUGGCUUCCCGUGCCUCACCCGGCGCGGUUGGCCUAAAUUUGGAGCCCGCGGCACUUAGCUCUCGUGGCGAUAGGUGGUGAACAAGGCCUUGGCCGUGCAAACAACCCGCUGCGAAUCUCUACGUCACGUGCGCUCGUCGGACCCUUUGAAGUUGCCUUCGGUGACUUAAAACCUUUGCGACCCCAGGUCAGGCGGGGCUACCCGCUGAAUUUAAGCAUAUCAAUAAGCGGAGGA